CAUGAAAGCUUGUGGUAGCAGCAUUCUUGAGUUCAUUUUCCUGGUGUUUUAUAUUUAAAUAGAUAUCUAGCAUUUUCUAGUCCAAAACUAUAUUCUGCAAAUUUUUUUGGCAAACCAUGGGCAUAUGCCAACUAAGGGUGCGUUUGGUUACACUUUUUGAUUUUUAAAAAAUAUUUUUUAUUUUUUUGAUUUUUACUACUGAGUAAAAACAAAAAAAUAAAAAGUUUAUUUGAUAAAUACAUUACUAUAAAGCAAAAAGCAAUAUUUGGGGAUGGC
This 276-nucleotide long non-coding RNA is filed under the name Elaeis guineensis (African oil palm). RNAcentral's name for it is "long non-coding RNA (EGUI_LNC009045)". The record is from RNAcentral. Lineage: Eukaryota; Viridiplantae; Streptophyta; Magnoliopsida; Arecales; Arecaceae.